GGUCAAGCUACAAAGGGCGCAUGGUGAAUGCCUUGGCAUCAGGAGCCGAUGAAGGACGUGAUAAGCUGCGAUAAGCUUCGGGUAGGCGCACAUAGCCAGAGAUCCGGAGAUUUCCGAAUGGGGAAACCCGCAUGAGAAACCUCAUGCAUCGUAAAGUGAAUACAUAGCUUUAUGAAGGAACACCUAGGGAACUGAAACAUCUAAGUACCUAGAGGAAGAGAAAGAAAAAUCGAUUUUCUUAGUAGCGGCGAGCGAAAAGGAAAGAGCCCAAACCAGAGAUUUAUCUCUGGGGUUGCGGACAGAACAUAACGUGAAAUUAUGAUUAACCGAACACAACUGGAAAGUUGGACCGUAGGAGGUAAUAGUCCUGUAAGUAAAAGUCAUAAUGAUCAGUUCUGCACCAGAGUACCACGAGACACGUGAAACCUUGUGGGAAGCAGGGAGGACCACCUCCCAAGGCUAAAUACUACCUGAUGACCGAUAGUGAAGCAGUACCGUGAGGGAAAGGUGAAAAGAACCCCGGGAGGGGAGUGAAAUAGAACCUGAAACCAUGUGCCUACAACCGAUCAAAGCACCUUAUGUGUGUGAUGAUGUGCUUUUUGUAGAACGAGCCAACGAGUUACGGUAUGUAGCGAGGUUAAGUACUUAAGGUACGGAGCCGAAGGGAAACCGAGUCUUAAUAGGGCGACUAGUUGCAUGCUGUAGACCCGAAACCGGGUGACCUAUCCAUGGCCAGGUUGAAGCGAGGGUAAAACCUCGUGGAGGACCGAACCACGUUGCUGUUGAAAAAGCAUGGGAUGAGCUGUGGAUAGCGGAGAAAUUCCAAUCGAACUCGGAUAUAGCUGGUUCUCCUCGAAAUAGCUUUAGGGCUAGCGUCGUGAAAUGUGAGUACUGGAGGUAGAGCACUGAAUAGGCUAGGGGGCAUAGCGCUUACCGAACCUUAUCAAACUCCGAAUGCCAGAUACUAUCAGCACGGCAGUCAGACUAUGAAAGAUAAGUUCCAUGGUCAAAAGGGAAACAGCCCAGAUCGUCAGCUAAGGUCCCAAAGUGUAAGUUAAGUGGAAAAGGAUGUGGGAUUUCUAAGACAACUAGGAUGUUGGCUUAGAAGCAGCCACUCAUUAAAAGAGUGCGUAAUAGCUCACUAGUCAAGAGAUCCUGCGCCGAAAAUGUCCGGGGCUCAAACUUACCACCGAAGCUACGGGUUCAUACUUUGUAUGAGCGGUAGAGGAGCGUCGUAAUCGGGCUGAAGUCGUACCGUAAGGAGCGGUGGACUGAUUACGAGUGAGAAUGUUGGCAUUAGUAGCGAGAUGUAGGUGAGAAUCCUACAGGCCGAAUAUCUAAGGUUUCCUGAGUAAAGUUUGUCUUCUCAGGGUUAGUCGGGACCUAAGGCGAGGCCGAGAGGCGUAGUCGAUGGACAAUUGGUUGAUAUUCCAAUACCACUAUAAUCGUUAUUAUCGAUGGUGUGACGGAGAAGGAUAGGAUGUGCCAGCUAUUGGAUGCUGGUCUAAGCGUUGAGGGAGUUAGAACAGGCAAAUCCGUUCUAACAAUCCUAGGGCGUGAUGGGGAAGGUUCUACGGAACCGAAGUAUCUGAUUUCAUGCUUCCAAGAAAAGCAUCUAGAAAGAGAAGUAGUGCCCGUACCGCAAACCGACACAGGUAGAUGAGGAGAGAAUCCUAAGGCCGACGGAAGAAUCACAGUUAAGGAACUAGGCAAAUUGACCCCGUAACUUCGGGAGAAGGGGUGCCUACCAUUUGGUAGGCCGCAGAGAAUAGGCACAAGCAACUGUUUAACAAAAACACAGGUCUCUGCUAAAGCGUAAGCUGAUGUAUAGGGGCUGACGCCUGCCCGGUGCUGGAAGGUUAAGGGGAACACUUAGCGCAAGCGAAGGUGUGAACUUAAGCCCCAGUAAACGGCGGCCGUAACUAUAACGGUCCUAAGGUAGCGAAAUUCCUUGUCAGGUAAGUUCUGACCCGCACGAAUGGCGUAAUGACUUGUGCACUGUCUCAACUGUGAAUCCGGCGAAGUUGUAGUGCGAGUGAAGAUGCUCGCUACCCGCGAUUGGACGGAAAGACCCCGUAGAGCUUUACUGUAGCUUAGCAUUGAAUUUCGGUAUUGUCUGUACAGGAUAGGUGGGAGACUGGGAAAUUA
Ribosomal RNA from Clostridium butyricum, 2148 nucleotides. It matches the Rfam family "Bacterial large subunit ribosomal RNA", at positions 1 to 2165 of the family's 2925-position model. Lineage: Bacteria; Bacillati; Bacillota; Clostridia; Eubacteriales; Clostridiaceae. The record is from Rfam.